RNAcentral lists this ribosomal RNA (274 nucleotides) under uncultured bacterium. RNAcentral's name for it is "partial 16S ribosomal RNA". It matches the Rfam family "Bacterial small subunit ribosomal RNA", at positions 523 to 796 of the family's 1533-position model. The record is from RNAcentral.
AUACGGAGGGCGCAAGCGUUGCUCGGAAUCACUGGGUGUAAAGGGUGCGUAGGCGGGGCUGUAAGUCAGAGGUGAAAGCCCUCGGCUCAACCGGGGAAUUGCCUCUGAUACUGCAGCUCUUGAGUCCCGGAGAGGCCGCUGGAAUUCCUGGUGUAGCGGUGAAAUGCGUAGAUAUCAGGAGGAACACCGGAGGCGAAGGCGGGCGGCUGGACGGGGACUGACGCUGAGGCACGAAAGCGUGGGGAGCAAACAGGAUUAGAAACCCUAGUAGUCC